RNAcentral lists this ribosomal RNA (253 nucleotides) under uncultured bacterium. RNAcentral's name for it is "partial 16S ribosomal RNA". It matches the Rfam family "Bacterial small subunit ribosomal RNA", at positions 524 to 776 of the family's 1533-position model. The record is from RNAcentral.
UACGAAGGGGGCUAGCGUUGCUCGGAAUCACUGGGCGUAAAGCGCGUGUAGGCGGCUCGGUAAGUCUGCUCUGAAAGUCCAAGGCUCAACCUUGGGAUGCGGGUGGAUACUGCUGGGCUCGAGUCCGGAAGAGGCGAGUGGAAUUCCUGGUGUAGCGGUGAAAUGCGCAGAUAUCAGGAGGAACACCAAUGGCGAAGGCAGCUCGCUGGGACGUGACUGACGCUGAGACGCGAAAGCGUGGGGAGCAAACAGG